Molecule: ribosomal RNA, 440 nt
Filed under: uncultured bacterium
Lineage: Bacteria
Description: partial 16S ribosomal RNA
Rfam family: Bacterial small subunit ribosomal RNA
Source: RNAcentral
CCUACGGGGGGCAGCAGUGGGGAAUAUUGCACAAUGGGGGAAACCCUGAUGCAGCGACGCCGCGUGGAGGAUGAAGGUUUUCGGAUUGUAAACUCCUUUUGUUAGAGAAGAUAAUGACGGUAUCUAACGAAUAAGCACCGGCUAACUCCGUGCCAGCAGCCGCGGUAUUACGGAGGGUGCAAGCGUUACUCGGAAUCACGGGGCGUAAAGAGCGCGUAGGCGGGAUAGCAAGUCAGAUGUGAAAGCCUAUGGCUUAAGGAUAGAACUGCAUUUGAAACUGUUAUGCUAGAGUGUGGGAGAGGUAGGAGGAAUGCGUGGUGUAGGGGUAAAAUCCAUAGAGAUCAAACAGAAUACUCAUUGCGAAGGCGACCUACGAGACCGUGACUGACGCUGAUGCGCGAAAGCGUGGGUAGCAAACAGGAUUAGAUACCCCUGUAGUC